Molecule: non-coding RNA, 75 nt
Organism: Myotis lucifugus (little brown bat)
Lineage: Eukaryota; Metazoa; Chordata; Mammalia; Chiroptera; Vespertilionidae
Source: Rfam
UGCGGUUCUCGGGUGAUGCACCCGGAACCAGAGAGGAGGGAGCCUGAUUCUGGGGUGCGUCACCUGAGAACCACC